Molecule: ribosomal RNA, 292 nt
Filed under: uncultured bacterium
Lineage: Bacteria
Also listed under: 2 other names
Description: partial 16S ribosomal RNA
Source: RNAcentral
GGACUACCGGGGUAUCUAAUCCCGUUUGCUCCCCUGGCUUUCGCGCCUCAGCGUCAGAAGAGAUCCAGCCCGUCGCUUUCGCCACCGGCGUUCCUUCGGAUAUCAACGCAUUUCACCGCUCCACCCGAAGUUCCACAGGCCCCUACCUCCCUCGAGACCGCCAGUUUCCAAGGCCCUUUUCCGGUUAAGCCGAAAGAUUUCACCCCGGACUUGGCAGUCCGCCUACGCGCCCUUUAAGCCCAGUGAUUCCGAACAACGUUUGGACGGUUCGUCUUACCGCGGCUGCUGGCAC